GACGGCAAUAGCGCCGUGGAACCACCUGAUCCCAUGCCGAACUCAGAAGUGAAACGCGGUAGCGCCGAUGGUAGUGUGGCAUUCGCCAUGCGAGAGUAGGACACUG
RNAcentral lists this ribosomal RNA (106 nucleotides) under Aeromonas hydrophila. The record is from RNAcentral. RNAcentral also lists the same sequence under 5 other names. Lineage: Bacteria; Pseudomonadati; Pseudomonadota; Gammaproteobacteria; Aeromonadales; Aeromonadaceae.